RNAcentral lists this ribosomal RNA (411 nucleotides) under uncultured microorganism. Its description in RNAcentral is "bacterial SSU rRNA". It matches the Rfam family "Bacterial small subunit ribosomal RNA", at positions 9 to 416 of the family's 1533-position model. The record is from RNAcentral.
GAGUUUGAUCCUGGCUCAGAUUGAACGCUGGCGGCAUGCCUUACACAUGCAAGUCGAACGGCAGCAUGAUCUAGCUUGCUAGAUUGAUGGCGAGUGGCGAACGGGUGAGUAAUACAUCGGAACGUGCCCUGUAGUGGGGGAUAACUAGUCGAAAGAUUAGCUAAUACCGCAUACGACCUGAGGGUGAAAGUGGGGGACCGCAAGGCCUCAUGCUAUAGGAGCGGCCGAUGUCUGAUUAGCUAGUUGGUGGGGUAAAGGCCCACCAAGGCGACGAUCGGUAGCUGGUCUGAGAGGACGAUCAGCCACACUGGGACUGAGACACGGCCCAGACUCCUACGGGAGGCAGCAGUGGGGAAUUUUGGACAAUGGGCGAAAGCCUGAUCCAGCAAUGCCGCGUGUGUGAAGAAGGCC